UACGGAGAGUGCAAACGUUGUUCGGAUUCACUGGGCGUAAAGGGCACGUAGGCUGCUCGGCAAGUCGGUCGUGGAAUCCCGACGCUUACCGUCGGAACGGCGGCCGAAAAUACCGGGCUAGAGGGCGUGAGGGGUCACUGGAACUCCUGGUGAAGCGGUGAAAUGCGUAGAUAUCAGGAGGAACGCCGGAGGCGAAAGCGAGUGACUGGCGCGUUCCUGACGCUGAGGUGCGAAAGCUAGGGGAGCAAACAGG
RNAcentral lists this ribosomal RNA (253 nucleotides) under uncultured bacterium. RNAcentral's name for it is "partial 16S ribosomal RNA". It matches the Rfam family "Bacterial small subunit ribosomal RNA", at positions 524 to 776 of the family's 1533-position model. The record is from RNAcentral.